RNAcentral lists this ribosomal RNA (497 nucleotides) under uncultured bacterium. Its description in RNAcentral is "partial 16S ribosomal RNA". It matches the Rfam family "Bacterial small subunit ribosomal RNA", at positions 28 to 507 of the family's 1533-position model. The record is from RNAcentral.
GAUGAACGCUGGCGGCGUGCCUAAUACAUGCAAGUCGAGCGAACAGAUGAGGAGCUUGCUCCUCUGACGUUAGCGGCGGACGGGUGAGUAACACGUGGAUAACCUACCUAUAAGACUGGGAUAACUUCGGGAAACCGGAGCUAAUACCGGAUAAUAUAUUGAACCGCAUGGUUCAAUAGUGAAAGACGGUUUUGCUGUCACUUAUAGAUGGAUCCGCGCCGCAUUAGAUAGUUGGUAAGGUAACGGCUUACCAAGGCAACGAUGCGUAGCCGACCUGAGAGGGGGAUCGGCCACACGGGAACUGAGACACGGUCCAGACUACUACGGGAGGCAGCAGUAGGGAAUCUUCCGCAAUGGGCGAAAGCCUGACGGAGCAACGCCGCGUGAGUGAUGAAGGUCUUCGGAUCGUAAAACUCUGUUAUUAGGGAAGAACAAAUGUGUAAGUAACUAUGCACGUCUUGACGGUACCUAAUCAGAAAGCCACGGCUAACUACGUG